UAAACAGACAAGACCUUCUUUACCUGCCGCCCUGUUUCAUCAUAUAUUAAUGCCUUAAAACAUGUCAAUGUUUACUUUUGUAUAUAAAUCAACACAAAAUCUGUAUAUUGGAGGAAUAUUCACAGACUCUGUUAGCUUACUGUUGCAGACGAGGGAUGAUGAGGAUGGCCGCCAAGACCGACGGACGGGCGUUGGGCGCUCUCCUUUACGGAACUUUACAGUUUGUGGAAUACGUGGCAGAACAUCUAGCAGAGCACUGCAUUGCAGGAGAGAGGAAGCCUGUUGAUUGCUGCCCAGAAAUAACAGCACGGCGGAUAACACUCCGGGAGCACUCUUGGCAUUCUCUUGAUUAGCUUGACACACCUAAAAGGGUUUUCACUUCACAGGUGUGCUUGAAGCGCAUCGAGAGAAUGCCAAGAGUAUGCAAAGCAGUAAUCAGAGAAAAGGUAACAGCACGGCGGAUAACACUCCGUUAUAGCUAGCGCCUUCUUGCGCUAGCUAUCCCAGUACUUUGUGCCAUCUACAAAUGCCAUGGUGUUCAUGUCAUCAUGAAAGACAUGAACAUUGAGCGCAAAAACAAAGGAGACUGCGACUGGGUUGAUAUCCGCCGACCGCCGUGCUGCUGAAAAGGAAAAAGCGAAAAUGACGAACAUUGCGGGAAUGACAU
Long non-coding RNA from Entelurus aequoreus (snake pipefish), 667 nucleotides. RefSeq lists it as uncharacterized. NCBI's taxonomy places the organism in Eukaryota, Metazoa, Chordata, Actinopteri, Syngnathiformes, Syngnathidae. The record is from RefSeq and is a predicted model, not a curated record. The transcript has 3 exons.